This 120-nucleotide small nuclear RNA is filed under the name Rodentolepis nana. Its description in RNAcentral is "Hymenolepis nana U11 spliceosomal RNA". It matches the Rfam family "U11 spliceosomal RNA". Lineage: Eukaryota; Metazoa; Platyhelminthes; Cestoda; Cyclophyllidea; Hymenolepididae. The record is from Rfam by way of RNAcentral.
CAAAAGGGCUCUGCGUUACUUACGCAAGCCGGAUAGAGAUGUUCGGCUCGGAAUGGUAAUCAAGACAUUUCGAGAGCGUAUUCUUUGCACUUGGCCUGCCCGAAAAUUACGGGCGGCCGU